GACUCCAUGUAGUGUCGGUGAAACAUUGCCUUAAAUUUCUUUAGUUUGUCUACACUGUUGCAGGUUUUGUAUCAUUGCCAUUUUGUCACUGUGGUCAGCACAAUCUUGUUAUUGUCAUCAUGAUUACUUUUUUUUCUUCACCUCUGCUGCUAACCUACUAUGUUGCCAUGCCGAUCCCUUGACUCCAUGUAGUGUCGGUGAAACAUUGCCUUAAAUUUCUUUAGUUUGUCUACACUGUUGCAGGUUUUGUAUCAUUGCCAUUUUGUCACUGUGGUCAGCACAAUCUUGUUAUUGUCAUCAUGAUUACUUUUUUUUCUUCACCUCUGCUGCUAUUUAAUUCAUGGCACCGCAUCUUAUCUCAUUCUGUUGUUCCUUGCUAAUACUGUAGCCAUUUGCACACCAUCACAUACCAUCACAUUGCUUCCAUCGUUAUGAUUUACUUCUUGUUAAGAAGUAUUUUUGAGUUGUUUCCUUUUUAUGGAAAUUUAGUGAAUUAAUUGAAUGUAAGGAAUUAAAAGGGUCAUUAUGACA
RNAcentral lists this long non-coding RNA (531 nucleotides) under Elaeis guineensis (African oil palm). RNAcentral describes it as "long non-coding RNA (EGUI_LNC030591)". The record is from RNAcentral. Lineage: Eukaryota; Viridiplantae; Streptophyta; Magnoliopsida; Arecales; Arecaceae.